GGGUUGUGAGGUUAAGCGACUAAGCGUACACGGUGGAUGCCCUGGCAGUCAGAGGCGAUGAAGGACGUGCUAAUCUGCGAAAAGCGUCGGUAAGGUGAUAUGAACCGUUAUAACCGGCGAUGUCCGAAUGGGGAAACCCAGUGCAAUUCGUUGCACUAUCGUUAACUGAAUACAUAGGUUAACGAGGCGAACCGGGGGAACUGAAACAUCUAAGUACCCCGAGGAAAAGAAAUCAACCGAGAUUCCCCCAGUAGCGGCGAGCGAACGGGGAGCAGCCCAGAGUCUGAAUCAGCUUGUGUGUUAGUGGAACGGUCUGGAAAGUCCGACGGUACAGGGUGAUAGUCCCGUACACCAAAAUGCACAGGUUGUGAACUCGAAGAGUAGGGCGGGACACGUGGUAUCCUGUCUGAAUAUGGGGGGACCAUCCUCCAAGGCUAAAUACUCCUGACUGACCGAUAGUGAACCAGUACCGUGAGGGAAAGGCGAAAAGAACCCCGGCGAGGGGAGUGAAAAAGAACCUGAAACCGUGUACGUACAAGCAGUGGGAGCACCUUCGGGUGUGACUGCGUACCUUUUGUAUAAUGGGUCAGCGACUUAUAUUCUGUAGCAAGGUUAACCGUAUAGGGGAGCCGCAGGGAAACCGAGUCUUAACUGGGCGUUAAGUUGCAGGGUAUAGACCCGAAACCCGGUGAUCUAGCCAUGGGCAGGUUGAAGGUUGGGUAACACUAACUGGAGGACCGAACCGACUAAUGUUGAAAAAUUAGCGGAUGACUUGUGGCUGGGGGUGAAAGGCCAAUCAAACCGGGAGAUAGCUGGUUCUCCCCGAAAGCUAUUUAGGUAGCGCCUCGUGAACUCAUCUUCGGGGGUAGAGCACUGUUUCGGCUAGGGGGUCAUCCCGACUUACCAACCCGAUGCAAACUACGAAUACCGAAGAAUGUUAUCACGGGAGACACACGGCGGGUGCUAACGUCCGUCGUGAAGAGGGAAACAACCCAGACCGCCAGCUAAGGUCCCAAAGUCAUGGUUAAGUGGGAAACGAUGUGGGAAGGCACAGACAGCCAGGAUGUUGGCUUAGAAGCAGCCAUCAUUUAAAGAAAGCGUAAUAGCUCACUGGUCGAGUCGGCCUGCGCGGAAGAUGUAACGGGGCUAAACCAUGCACCGAAGCUGCGGCAGCGACACUAUGUGUUGUUGGGUAGGGGAGCGUUCUGUAAGCCUGCGAAGGUGACCUGUGAGGGUUGCUGGAGGUAUCAGAAGUGCGAAUGCUGACAUAAGUAACGAUAAAGCGGGUGAAAAGCCCGCUCGCCGGAAGACCAAGGGUUCCUGUCCAACGUUAAUCGGGGCAGGGUGAGUCGACCCCUAAGGCGAGGCCGAAAGGCGUAGUCGAUGGGAAACAGGUUAAUAUUCCUGUACUUGGUGUUACUGCGAAGGGGGGACGGAGAAGGCUAUGUUAGCCGGGCGACGGUUGUCCCGGUUUAAGCAUGUAGGCUGGUUAUCCAGGCAAAUCCGGAUAAUCAAGGCUGAGGUGUGAUGACGAGGCACUACGGUGCUGAAGUAACAAAUGCCCUGCUUCCAGGAAAAGCCUCUAAGCAUCAGGUAACAUCAAAUCGUACCCCAAACCGACACAGGUGGUCAGGUAGAGAAUACCAAGGCGCUUGAGAGAACUCGGGUGAAGGAACUAGGCAAAAUGGUGCCGUAACUUCGGGAGAAGGCACGCUGGUGUGUAGGUGAAGUCCCUGCGGAUGGAGCUGAGACCAGUCGAAGAUACCAGCUGGCUGCAACUGUUUAUUAAAAACACAGCACUGUGCAAACACGAAAGUGGACGUAUACGGUGUGACGCCUGCCCGGUGCCGGAAGGUUAAUUGAUGGGGUUAUCCGUAAGGAGAAGCUCUUGAUCGAAGCCCCGGUAAACGGCGGCCGUAACUAUAACGGUCCUAAGGUAGCGAAAUUCCUUGUCGGGUAAGUUCCGACCUGCACGAAUGGCGUAAUGAUGGCCAGGCUGUCUCCACCCGAGACUCAGUGAAAUUGAACUCGCUGUGAAGAUGCAGUGUACCCGCGGCAAGACGGAAAGACCCCGUGAACCUUUACUAUAGCUUGACACUGAACAUUGAGCCUUGAUGUGUAGGAUAGGUGGGAGGCUUUGAAGCGUGGACGCCAGUCUGCGUGGAGCCAACCUUGAAAUACCACCCUUUAAUGUUUGAUGUUCUAACGUUGGCCCCUGACCGGGGUUGCGGACAGUGUCUGGUGGGUAGUUUGACUGGGGCGGUCUCCUCCCAAAGCGUAACGGAGGAGCAC
This 2292-nucleotide ribosomal RNA is filed under the name Klebsiella pneumoniae. Its description in RNAcentral is "bacterial LSU rRNA". It matches the Rfam family "Bacterial large subunit ribosomal RNA", at positions 1 to 2311 of the family's 2925-position model. Lineage: Bacteria; Pseudomonadati; Pseudomonadota; Gammaproteobacteria; Enterobacterales; Enterobacteriaceae. The record is from RNAcentral.